GUAUCGGCUCUUUUCAGGGCCACAUAAACACAAUCAAAAAAGAAA
This is a non-coding RNA of Lasius niger, 45 nucleotides long. The record is from Rfam. NCBI's taxonomy places the organism in Eukaryota, Metazoa, Arthropoda, Insecta, Hymenoptera, Formicidae.